GUCCACGCCGUAACGAUGAUAACUAGUUGUUCGGCACUUGGUGCCUGAGUGACGCAGCUAACGCAUUAAGUUAUCCGCCUGGGAGUACGGUCGCAAGAUUAACUCAAGGAAUUGACGGGCCUGCACAAGCGGUGGAGCAUGUGGUUAAUUCGAAGCAACGCGCAGAACCUUACCAGCCUUUGACAUCCCGCGCUACCUGGAGAGAUUCAGGGUUCCUUUCGGGACGCGGUGACAGGUGCUGCAUGGCUGUCGU
This 253-nucleotide ribosomal RNA is filed under the name uncultured bacterium. RNAcentral describes it as "partial 16S ribosomal RNA". It matches the Rfam family "Bacterial small subunit ribosomal RNA", at positions 793 to 1055 of the family's 1533-position model. The record is from RNAcentral.